UUAAUAAAAUGCUCCGCAGGGCGCAGCUUGAUACGACCGCAGAGAUCGAACCCUGAACAGUUGGGGCAAGUAUGGACACAACAUUCAAGCUUGAUACAGCUCUGAAUUUGGAUUGUGAUUAAAUAUUUGACACAGCAUAGGUUUCUGACACAGAAAGAAUGUGGUCUAAGAACUUGAAUUUUUUUAAUUUACCUAUUAUGGUCCAAUGUCCAAAAUCAAAAUACAUGGUUAGAUUCAGCAUAUCAAAGAACCCCAUAUAUUCAAUUUUUGUUAAAAUCAAACAAAGUUUAAUUUUGGACCCCAACUUGGACAAACUUGAAAACUGGGCCCAUAAUCAAAAAUCUAAACACAUGUUUAGAUUCAGCAUAUCAAAUAACCCCAAUAAUUCAAUUUUUGCUAAAAUCAAACUAAGUUUAAUUUUGGACCCUUUGGACCUUAAUGUAGACCAAUUUAAAAAAACGGGACUUAAAAUUAAAAAUCUAAAUACACGGUUAGAUUUGGAAUAUCAAAGAACCCCAAUAUCAAUUUUUGAUGAAAUCAAACAAAGUUUAAUUUUUGGACCCUUUUGACCUCAAUAUGAACCAAUUUGAUAGCGGGGCCCACAAAUAAAAAAUCUAAA
Mytilus californianus (California mussel) is the source of this 619-nucleotide long non-coding RNA. RefSeq lists it as uncharacterized. NCBI's taxonomy places the organism in Eukaryota, Metazoa, Mollusca, Bivalvia, Mytilida, Mytilidae. The transcript has 2 exons. The record is from RefSeq and is a predicted model, not a curated record.